UUUUAACCCACUAAGCCAUUUAUAAGAGUUGCCCCAAAAUAUUGUGAUGCUCCAUAAGGGCAAAAAUCAAAAUGGAUCGAAAUCUGUCAAAACAGCAAAUUCCUCGAGAAAUCAAAACGGAUCGGAAUCAAUACUAGAGAACAACGGUGGAUUAUUCUAUUAGCAAUCAAAUUUCAGUUAGUUUUGUUUCUCAUUUCUCUCUUUAGAUUUGUGGGUAUCUUUUUUUUUUUUUUAGCUCGUGUAGCAAAAAGUCAUUUAUUUCUUGUUUUGGAGCUAUUUCUUCCAUGUGAAACAAGUUCUUUGAAAAAUUGCAAGCAGAACUUCAAGUUGAAGAGGGUUUCAAUUAUCAAUUUUAUGAUUUAGGAGUGAUUGUCCACGGAGGUCGCAGCAAUUAUUGACGGGCAAUUUCACUUUAGGACAUCGUGCCGUCACGAAACUCGAUCAAACGAUAAGUUUUAUACUUCUGCAUUUUAUUGUUCUGAACAUUACUGCAACUAUUUAUUUUUCCAACAAUACUAACUAUGGAUUGAGGGCUAUCUAUUUGACAUAAAAAAUUUGAGUUUGUUUUGGGGUUUGUAUUGUUAAGUUGAUUUAUGGUUUUCCUUUUUUGAGUCAACUUCUUAUUAUUAAUUGGAACUACUUCUUCUCAAACAUUAAUUUUGGUAAGGCUACACGGAGAGUUCCACAGAGACUUCCUUUUAUGGGCUAGGCAAAUAAAUGUUUUUGUAGUUAUUAUAAGGAGACAAUUGAAUUAUUAUUCAAUAAAAAAUAUUGAAUGUUCAAUUUUAAUUAUUAAUGCACAAAAGUUGAAUUACUUGAAUUUUCUCAGUAA
Long non-coding RNA from Olea europaea var. sylvestris, 832 nucleotides. RefSeq lists it as uncharacterized. The record is from RefSeq and is a predicted model, not a curated record. NCBI's taxonomy places the organism in Eukaryota, Viridiplantae, Streptophyta, Magnoliopsida, Lamiales, Oleaceae. The transcript has 3 exons.